AGCCAACGAGGAAAGCAAGCAUCCUGUCUUACCUCUGUUCUACCCCAGAGCCAGUAAUGUUGAAUCCACUGGGGCUAACUGGGAGAGAGGAUGAAAGCUUGUUCUAUAAGGAGCUGUCUGAGGUAC
Molecule: small nucleolar RNA, 126 nt
Organism: Delphinapterus leucas (beluga whale)
Lineage: Eukaryota; Metazoa; Chordata; Mammalia; Artiodactyla; Monodontidae
Gene: SNORD22
Rfam family: Small nucleolar RNA SNORD22
About the family: U22 is a member of the C/D class of snoRNA which contain the C (UGAUGA) and D (CUGA) box motifs. U22 is encoded within the U22 snoRNA host gene (UHG) in mammals and has also been identified in Xenopus.
Source: Ensembl